Molecule: ribosomal RNA, 1842 nt
Filed under: seawater metagenome
Description: bacterial LSU rRNA
Rfam family: Bacterial large subunit ribosomal RNA
Source: RNAcentral
AGGUUGGCUUAGAAGCAGCCAUCCUUUAAAGAAAGCGUAAUAGCUCACUAGUCGAAUCGGCCUGCGCGGAAGAUAUAACGGGGCUCAAACUAUACACCGAAGCUACGGACGCAUGCUUGCAUGCGUGGUAGAGGAGCGUUCUGUAGGCCGUUGAAGGGAAAGCUGAGAGGCAUCCUGGAGGUAUCAGAAGUGCGAAUGCUGACAUGAGUAACGAUAAGGGGAGUGAAAAGCUCCCCCGCCGGAAGACCAAGGUUUCCUAUCCAAUGCUAAUCAGGGUAGGGUGAGUCGGCCCCUAAGGCGAGGCUGAAGAGCGUAGUCGAUGGGAAGCAGGUUAAUAUUCCUGCACCACUCAAUAUUGCGAAGGAGGGACGGAGAAGGCUAGUCCAGCGCGGCGUUGGUUGUCCGCGUUUAAGCGUGUAGGCUUAAAUCUUAGGUAAAUCCGGGAUUUUUUAAGGCUGAGGCGUGAUGACGAGGUCCAUUAGGACUGAAGUGGUUGAUGCCAUGCUUCCAGGAAAAGCUUCUAAGCAUCAGAUAUUGAGUGACCGUACCCCAAACCGACACAGGUGGUCAGGUAGAGAAUACCAAGGCGCUUGAGAGAACUCGGGUGAAGGAACUAGGCAAAAUGGUACCGUAACUUCGGGAGAAGGUACGCCGCUGAUGGUGAUGGGACUUGCUCCCUAAGCUGUUGGCGGCCGAAGAUACCAGGUGGCUGCGACUGUUUAUUAAAAACACAGCACUGUGCAAACACGAAAGUGGACGUAUACGGUGUGACGCCUGCCCGGUGCCGGAAGGUUAAUUGAUGGGGUUAGCUUCGGCGAAGCUCUUGAUCGAAGCCCCGGUAAACGGCGGCCGUAACUAUAACGGUCCUAAGGUAGCGAAAUUCCUUGUCGGGUAAGUUCCGACCUGCACGAAUGGCGUAACGACGGCCACACUGUCUCCACCCGAGACUCAGUGAAAUUGAAAUCGCUGUUAAGAUGCAGUGUAUCCGCGGCUAGACGGAAAGACCCCGUGAACCUUUACUAUAGCUUCACAGUGAACUUUGAACCUAUUUGUGUAGGAUAGGUGGGAGGCUUUGAAACUGGGACGCUAGUCUCAGUGGAGCCAAACUUGAAAUACCACCCUGGUAUGUUUGAGGUUCUAACUCAGGUCCGUAAUCCGGAUCGAGGACACUGUGUGGUGGGUAGUUUGACUGGGGCGGUCUCCUCCCAAAGAGUAACGGAGGAGCACGAAGGUAUGCUAAUCAUGGUCGGAAAUCAUGAGGUUAGUGCAAUGGCAUAAGCAUGCUUAACUGCGAGACAGACACGUCGAGCAGAUACGAAAGUAGGUCAUAGUGAUCCGGUGGUUCUGAAUGGAAGGGCCAUCGCUCAACGGAUAAAAGGUACUCCGGGGAUAACAGGCUGAUACCGCCCAAGAGUUCACAUCGACGGCGGUGUUUGGCACCUCGAUGUCGGCUCAUCACAUCCUGGGGCUGAAGCCGGUCCCAAGGGUAUGGCUGUUCGCCAUUUAAAGUGGUACGCGAGCUGGGUUUAGAACGUCGUGAGACAGUUCGGUCCCUAUCUGCCGUGGACGUUUGAGAUUUGAGAAGAGUUGCUCCUAGUACGAGAGGACCGGAGUGAACGAACCUCUGGUGUUCCGGUUGUCACGCCAGUGGCAUUGCCGGGUAGCUACGUUCGGACAGGAUAACCGCUGAAAGCAUCUAAGCGGGAAGCCCCCUUCAAGAUGAGAUCUCACAGGACUUUAAGUCCCUAAAGAGCCGUUCAAGACUAGGACGUUGAUAGGUUGGGUGUGUAAGCACGGUAACGUGUUGAGCUAACCAAUACUAAUUGCUCGUGAGGCUUGACC